GACGAACGCUGGCGGCGUGCCUAAUACAUGCAAGUCGAACGCUUCUUUCCUCCCGAGUGCUUGCACUCAAUUGGAAAGAGGAGUGGCGGACGGGUGAGUAACACGUGGGUAACCUACCCAUCAGAGGGGGAUAACACUUGGAAACAGGUGCUAAUACCGCAUAACAGUUUAUGCCGCAUGGCAUAAGAGUGAAAGGCGCUUUCGGGUGUCGCUGAUGGAUGGACCCGCGGUGCAUUAGCUAGUUGGUGAGGUAACGGCUCACCAAGGCCACGAUGCAUAGCCGACCUGAGAGGGUGAUCGGCCAAACUGGGACUGAGACACGGCCCAGACUCCUACGGGAGGCAGCAGUAGGGAAUCUUCGGCAAUGGACGAAAGUCUGACCGAGCAACGCCGCGUGAGUGAAGAAGGUUUUCGGAUCGUAAAACUCUGUUGUUAGAGAAGAACAAGGACGUUAGUAACUGAACGUCCCCUGACGGUAUCUACCCAGAAAGCCACGGCUAACUACGUG
Molecule: ribosomal RNA, 508 nt
Filed under: uncultured bacterium
Lineage: Bacteria
Description: partial 16S ribosomal RNA
Rfam family: Bacterial small subunit ribosomal RNA
Source: RNAcentral